GGUUAGAGACCCGGUCAGGAAAGCCUUCGGGUGCUGAAGGAGGGGACUGUGGCCCAUCAGCUAGUUGGAGAGGUAAUGGCUCACCAAGGCUGGGACGGGUAGGGGGCCUGAGAGGGUGGUCCCCCACACUGGAACUGAGAGACGGUCCAGACUCCUACGGGAGGCAGCAGUAAGGGAUAUUGCGCGAAUGCGAAAGUCUGACGCAGCAACGCCGCGUGCGGGAGGAAGGCCUUCGGCGUAAACCGCUUUUCGAGGUGAAGAGCGAGGACGGUAGCCUCGGAAGAUCUCGGCUAA
RNAcentral lists this ribosomal RNA (294 nucleotides) under uncultured bacterium. Its description in RNAcentral is "partial 16S ribosomal RNA". It matches the Rfam family "Bacterial small subunit ribosomal RNA", at positions 184 to 500 of the family's 1533-position model. The record is from RNAcentral.